Molecule: ribosomal RNA, 404 nt
Filed under: uncultured prokaryote
Also listed under: 1 other name
Description: bacterial SSU rRNA
Rfam family: Bacterial small subunit ribosomal RNA
Source: RNAcentral
UGGGGAAUAUUGCACAAUGGGCGAAAGCCUGAUGCAGCAACGCCGCGUGAGGGAUGAAGGCCUUCGGUAUGUAAAGCUCUAUCAGCAGGGACGAUAAUGACGGUACCUGACUAAGAAGCCCCGGCUAACUACGUGCCAGCAGCCGCGGUAAUACGUAGGGGGCAAGCGUUAUCCGGAUUUACUGGGUGUAAAGGGAGCGUAGGUGGUAUGGUAAGUCAGGUGUGAAAGCCCGGGGCUCAACUCCGGGAUUGCAUUUGAAACUACCAAACUAGAGUGCAGGAGAGGUAAGUGGAAUUCCUAGUGUAGCGGUGAAAUGCGUAGAUAUUAGGAGGAACACCAGUGGCGAAGGCGGCUUACUGAACUGUAACUGACACUGAGGCUCGAAAGCGUGGGGAGCAAACAGG